Molecule: ribosomal RNA, 1385 nt
Filed under: Staphylococcus aureus
Lineage: Bacteria; Bacillati; Bacillota; Bacilli; Caryophanales; Staphylococcaceae
Description: partial 23S ribosomal RNA
Rfam family: Bacterial large subunit ribosomal RNA
Source: RNAcentral
CCUAAGCUGAGGCCGACAGGCGUAGGCGAUGGAUAACAGGUUGAUAUUCCUGUACCACCUAUAAUCGUUUUAAUCGAUGGGGGGACGCAGUAGGAUAGGCGAAGCGUGCGAUUGGAUUGCACGUCUAAGCAGUAAGGCUGAGUAUUAGGCAAAUCCGGUACUCAUUAAGGCUGAGCUGUGAUGGGGAGAAGACAUUGUGUCUUCGAGUCGUUGAUUUCACACUGCCGAGAAAAGCCUCUAGAUAGAAAAUAGGUGCCCGUACCGCAAACCGACACAGGUAGUCAAGAUGAGAAUUCUAAGGUGAGCGAGCGAACUCUCGUUAAGGAACUCGGCAAAAUGACCCCGUAACUUCGGGAGAAGGGGUGCUCUUUAGGGUUAACGCCCAGAAGAGCCGCAGUGAAUAGGCCCAAGCGACUGUUUAUCAAAAACACAGGUCUCUGCUAAACCGUAAGGUGAUGUAUAGGGGCUGACGCCUGCCCGGUGCUGGAAGGUUAAGAGGAGUGGUUAGCUUCUGCGAAGCUACGAAUCGAAGCCCCAGUAAACGGCGGCCGUAACUAUAACGGUCCUAAGGUAGCGAAAUUCCUUGUCGGGUAAGUUCCGACCCGCACGAAAGGCGUAACGAUUUGGGCACUGUCUCAACGAGAGACUCGGUGAAAUCAUAGUACCUGUGAAGAUGCAGGUUACCCGCGACAGGACGGAAAGACCCCGUGGAGCUUUACUGUAGCCUGAUAUUGAAAUUCGGCACAGCUUGUACAGGAUAGGUAGGAGCCUUUGAAACGUGAGCGCUAGCUUACGUGGAGGCGCUGGUGGGAUACUACCCUAGCUGUGUUGGCUUUCUAACCCGCACCACUUAUCGUGGUGGGAGACAGUGUCAGGCGGGCAGUUUGACUGGGGCGGUCGCCUCCUAAAAGGUAACGGAGGCGCUCAAAGGUUCCCUCAGAAUGGUUGGAAAUCAUUCAUAGAGUGUAAAGGCAUAAGGGAGCUUGACUGCGAGACCUACAAGUCGAGCAGGGUCGAAAGACGGACUUAGUGAUCCGGUGGUUCCGCAUGGAAGGGCCAUCGCUCAACGGAUAAAAGCUACCCCGGGGAUAACAGGCUUAUCUCCCCCAAGAGUUCACAUCGACGGGGAGGUUUGGCACCUCGAUGUCGGCUCAUCGCAUCCUGGGGCUGUAGUCGGUCCCAAGGGUUGGGCUGUUCGCCCAUUAAAGCGGUACGCGAGCUGGGUUCAGAACGUCGUGAGACAGUUCGGUCCCUAUCCGUCGUGGGCGUAGGAAAUUUGAGAGGAGCUGUCCUUAGUACGAGAGGACCGGGAUGGACAUACCUCUGGUGUACCAGUUGUCGUGCCAACGGCAUAGCUGGGUAGCUAUGUGUGGACGGGAUAAGUG